Vespula vulgaris is the source of this 3106-nucleotide long non-coding RNA. RefSeq lists it as uncharacterized. NCBI's taxonomy places the organism in Eukaryota, Metazoa, Arthropoda, Insecta, Hymenoptera, Vespidae. The transcript has 2 exons. The record is from RefSeq and is a predicted model, not a curated record.
UGAUAAUAAAUAUAGUAAACAAUAAUGGUAUUUGAAAUAAUAAUAAUAAUAAAUACAUUUCGUCCUUAACCUUUAAAAAAGUUGAUAAAUAUACAUACGUAUACACGAAUAGACAAAUAAAUACAUUAAAUAUGAAGAUCAUCAUUCUUUAUCAUCUUCGUUAAAUUAACAAAUAAACGAUAAAACUGUUAAUACUUAGGUUUAUUCGUAAAUAACGUUAAAGAUCUGUUUAAAAGAUAAAAAGAAUUUCAAGAAAAGAUUUUUAGGAUAAAGAGAAUACUUUUCUAAUAUUUACGUUUGGAAAGUACCAAUGUGGAAUUUUUGUCUUGCUUGCUGCUACAUUGAAAUCUGGUGUUUACUUAAAAAAAAAAAAAAGAAAGAAAAAAGAGAGAGAGAGAAAGGAAAAAAAAGAAAAAAAAAGAAAAAUGCUUUCAACUAUGUUAGUCUCCUAAGUGUAGGUAGAAAUUGGUUUUCUCUCUCUUUCUCUCUCUUUGCAACCCCCAAUGCCCUUUUCCAACUUCGAUCAGUUAUCGGCUUUGCCCUUGUAAUGUGAGUGAGAUAGAUAUAUAUGCGUGUGUGUGUGUCUGCAUGUAUUUUACACAAACGUGCGCACACACAUAUAUGUAUGUAUGCAUAUAUGUAUGUAGUAUGUUCAACGAUGAGUAGCAUCCAUACGUCGUCCAAUGCCGAUGGCUCGUGGAAAAGCUGCAUUCUAUGAAUGGAGUCGAGCGCCGGAUCAGUCGACACAAGCAAGGACGACUAAUUAUAGCGGGUAGUAGUAUCUCUCCCGGCUUUGAGUUUUCCUACGUUGACCGUAUAUGCUCGAAUACUCUCUUUGUGUGUCAAAUAUAUAACAAUAAUAAUAGUAAUAAUAUUAAUAAUAAUAAUAAUGAAAUAAUAGAAACAAAAGGUAUUGUAUUCCUUUAGACACGAUAAUAUAUAUCAUUCAUAAAGUUUCAUCGUGAUCAUUGAAAAAUUCCUAUGAAUCAGAUAUAAUAACUAUAAGAUAAAAAAAAAAUAAUAAUAAAUUUGAUGUCUAAUAUGAUGGCAAUAUUUUAUAUAUAUCUUUUAUAUAAUUGAUCUAAGCUUCGUCGAGAGAUCAUUAAAUAAUUUAUCCAUAUCCAAGAUUUUAAUAAAAAAUAAAAAACAUACGAAUUAAUGUUUCUCUCUUCGAUUAAAUGCUAGAUCAUUGAUUGAAUUUUGUCGGGAUUAAUCGAAUCGAAUCUUUUAUGAAAUAAAGCAAAUAAGUUAUUAUCGUUCCUUCCUGAUAAUAAUUUCAUUGAUUAAAUUUAAUUUUGUCGAUAUUUUGGGAAAACAAAUCCAUACCAAUCGAAGACGUGUGAAUACGUAUAGAAAAAAAUUUUUACCUUCUAUACGAUGAUAUAUAAUACAUACAUCGUUUGAAAAUUUCUUUAAGAUCAUUGAAAGAUUCCUAAUCUCGGAUCGAAGGAUUUUUAACGUGAAAAAAAAAAAAGAAAGAAAAAGAGGAAAAAAGAAGUUUCUUUUUUAUGUAGAUAAAACCAUAUUGAAAGAUGUACCCAGUACAUCUUUUAUAAUACUUUCUCGCGUAUAUAUUUACCGAUGAAAUUUACGAAUAGAAAUUUUAAAAGUGGUUUUAACCUGAAAGCGACGUUCGAUUUACUUCGGAUAAGAUCAAACGAUAUCUCGUUGUGUGCAUUUACGAUUUCAAUGGAGCCGACGUCUUCGAGCGCCGCAAUCGAGGUCGUGUCCUCGAGAUAGGAAGUUAAUCUUUGAUCAAAUCAUAUUAACACACAAUGACGAAUUUAAUCGAGCUGAUGAAAAAAAAUGGUUGGAUGAUGAAAGAAAAAGAAAAGAAAAAAUUAAUGAAAAUCGAUUUAAAAAAGAAAAGAAAAGAAAGAAGAGAGAAGAGAAGAAAUUUAAUUGGACUGAUAGAAAAAAUCGUUGCAUAAAGAGGAGGAAAGGGAAGAAAUUUACGAUCAAAAAUAAGAGUUACUAAUUACAAUGGCGAAUAUAAUUGUGCCGACAGAUAAAAUCAUUGGAUAAUGGGGGUAGGUGGGAAAGGGUAGGAAAUAAAUAAGUUUACGAUUACAAAAGGGAGAGUUACUACUUAAUUGACAACAGCUUUCGUUUUGCCAGAAAUAGAUCAUGCUCGUAGGAAGAAACAUAAACUUCGUUGAAUGGACAUAAGAGUUUAGCGCUGAUUAAGACUAAAAAGAAAGAGAAGGGGGAGAGAGAGAGAGAAAAAGAGAGAGCGUGGGAGAAGUUAAGGAAAUUAUAUACACAUACAUGCACAUAUAUACAUAUACUCUUGUACGAUCAUCGUAAAGGAUACAUAAGUGAAACGAAUUAUUCUACUCCCAACGCGUAAUUAAUUAAUGGUGAGUCAGUGUCAAGUACAAUACGAGUUUUAUAAAUAUAGGAUUUUUCUUUCUCUCUCUCUCUCUCUCUUUCUUUCUCUUUCUUUCUUUCUUUCUCUUUUUUAUUUAUUAUUACUGAUAAUCUUCCUAUUAAGAGGAUAAUUAAGAAUAUAAGACAGGUUUAUUUCACCGAUUAGAAAUCGACAUUUUAAUGAUACAUUUCCUUUUUAAAAUCAUGUCUGACGAAUAUAUCGUCUUGUUAAACGUAUAUAUGUGAAUGUGUGUAUGUGUUUUUAUGGAUAAUAUAGUAUAAGAUUUAUUUAUUUAUAUAAUUAGGAACAUUGAUUAUAUAUAGUGGAUACAGAAGUGAUAACAAAAUAAUUUCUAAACAAGUAAUAUUCUCUAUCAAAAAAUAUUGUUUGAACAAGUGUACGUGUAAUAUACUAUACAAAUAUGUAUAAAACUUCGUAAAGUGUUUACAAAAUUUAACGAUUUAAUUUGCAAAAUAAUUUUUGAAGAAGUAAUAUAUAUUUUUUAUAUAUUUAAUAAUAAUAUAUAUAUUAUUUAUCAAAAAACAUUGUUCAAGUUAAUAUUCGCGUGUACUAUAACAUAUUAUAUGUAUAUAAAAAGUAUCACGACAUGAAAAUUAAUUUAAAAAUUAAAUAAUAAAUUUGCAAGAGAGAAAAAGUGAAUAAUAAUUAUAAAUGAGUAACAUAAUGUGUAUGUCACCGAAAUAAAAAAGAAACAAAAAUACUUUUAUAAACAAA